GAUGAACGCUGGCGGCGUGCCUAAUACAUGCAAGUCGAGCGAACGGACGAGAAGCUUGCUUCUCUGAUGUUAGCGGCGGACGGGUGAGUAACACGUGGAUAACCUACCUAUAAGACUGGGAUAACUUCGGGAAACCGGAGCUAAUACCGGAUAAUAUUUUGAACCGCAUGGUUCAAAAGUGAAAGACGGUCUUGCUGUCACUUAUAGAUGGAUCCGCGCUGCAUUAGCUAGUUGGUAAGGUAGCGGCUUACCAAGGCAACGAUGCAUAGCCGACCUGAGAGGGUGAUCGGCCACACUGGAACUGAGACACGGUCCAGACUCCUACGGGAGGCAGCAGUAGGGAAUCUUCCGCAAUGGGCGAAGGCCUGACGGAGCAACGCCGCGUGAGUGAUGAAGGUCUUCGGAUCGUAAAACUCUGUUAUUAGGGAAGAACAUAUGUGUAAGUAACUGUGCACAUCUUGACGGUACCUAAUCAGAAAGCCACGGCUAACCACGUG
Molecule: ribosomal RNA, 497 nt
Filed under: uncultured bacterium
Lineage: Bacteria
Description: partial 16S ribosomal RNA
Rfam family: Bacterial small subunit ribosomal RNA
Source: RNAcentral